RNAcentral lists this ribosomal RNA (253 nucleotides) under uncultured bacterium. Its description in RNAcentral is "partial 16S ribosomal RNA". It matches the Rfam family "Bacterial small subunit ribosomal RNA", at positions 524 to 776 of the family's 1533-position model. The record is from RNAcentral.
UACGGAGGGAGCUAGCGUUGUUCGGAAUUACUGGGCGUAAAGCGCGCGUAGGCGGCUUUGUAAGUUAGAGGUGAAAGCCCGGGGCUCAACUCCGGAAUUGCCUUUAAGACUGCAUCGCUAGAAUCCGGGAGAGGUGAGUGGAAUUCCGAGUGUAGAGGUGAAAUUCGUAGAUAUUCGGAAGAACACCAGUGGCGAAGGCGGCUCACUGGACCGGCAUUGACGCUGAGACGCGAAAGCGUGGGGAGCGAACAGG